RNAcentral lists this ribosomal RNA (437 nucleotides) under uncultured Oscillospiraceae bacterium. RNAcentral's name for it is "bacterial SSU rRNA". It matches the Rfam family "Bacterial small subunit ribosomal RNA", at positions 341 to 792 of the family's 1533-position model. Lineage: Bacteria; Bacillati; Bacillota; Clostridia; Eubacteriales; Oscillospiraceae. The record is from RNAcentral.
ACGGAAGGCAGCAGUGGGGAAUAUUGGGCAAUGGGCGAAAGCCUGACCCAGCGACGUCGCGUGAGGGAAGAAGGUCUUCGGAUUGUAAACCUUUGUUGAUGGGGACGAAGAAAAUGACGGUACCCAUCGAGGAAGCCACGGCUAACUACGUGCCAGCAGCCGCGGUAAUACGUAGGUGGCGAGCGUUAUCCGGAUUUACUGGGUGUAAAGGGUGUGUAGGCGGGAUAGCAAGUCAGAUGUGAAAAUUAUGGGCUCAACUCAUAAACUGCGUCUGAAACUGUUGUUCUUGAGUGUCGGAGAGGUAAGUAGAAUUCCCGGUGUAGCGGUGAAAUGCGUAGAUAUCGGGAGGAAUACCGGUGGCGAAGGCGGCUUACUGGACGACAACUGACGCUGAGACACGAAAGUGUGGGGAGCAAACAGGAUUAGAUACCCUGGUA